UACAUGUCUGGAAAUGUCUUUAUUCCACAGUUAUCCUUUAUUUGGCUAAGUAUAGAAUGCCAGGAUAAAAAUAAUUUUCACUCAGAACUUUGGGUGCCCAACACUACUCUCCUCCUGAACUGCUGUUGUAUUCCUUCAUACACGACCGAGUCUCACUCUGUCACCUAGGCUGGAGUGCAGUGGCAUGAUCAUAGCUCACUGUAGCCUCAAACUCCUGGACUGAAGUGAUCCUUUUGCCUCAGCUUCCGAAAGUGCUGGGAUUUCAGUGACUCCACACCCACGGAAGGAGAGGGGGAUGAAGAAACCUGCCAGGAAGGUGCCUCCCGCCAGUAUCUGAUGAAGGUAAGAGGUAAGAGGCUGCCCGUUUACUGCUUGUGCCUUCCAGGGAAGUUUCUUCCCCAGGGUUACCACCCGUUUCAGGAGGCGUCUCUGGGCUAGGCUUCCUGGCAGCAGAGGCUCUCUGGCAUUGGGGCUGCUGAGGGUAUGUAGUGAAGGCCCUUGGCUUGGAAAUCUUCACCUUAGACUCAUUAAGAAUUUUUUCCAAGGAAUCCUCAUCGGGUGUGUUCCAAUGGCUCCCACCAGAUCCCAAUCAGGCCCAAACUUUUUUGCCAGUCCUCUCAAUCCAGACCCACUGAGCUCCAGUUACAUAGAACCACCUGCGAUUUCCUUGAACAUGUUAUGCAUUUUCAUGCUUCUGUGACUACUUUGCAUAUGCUGGUUCCUUUGCCUGGAGUGCCUCCUGUCACUUCUCUUCUUAAAGAACUCCUAUUCAUCCUUCAAGACCCUACUCAAAAGUCAGGUUCUUUUUCAAAGCCUCGCUUGACUUCCCAGACAGGGUUGGAUGCUCUGUGCUCCAGGUACAGGGUUCCUUCCCUGGCUCCUCUCGGAUUAGGGUAAUUAUUAGCAUUUGCAUGUUUAUCUUCCUUCUAGUUCCUCCAGAGCAGGGCCUGUCACUCACCUUGCAAAUGUGUACAGCACAGUGCCAGGCCCUAGUCAUUCCUCAGCCAAUAUUUGUGGAAGGAUAAACGCAAUUUCUUCUGGAUUUGUUGUAUUUUUGAGUAGA
This is a non-coding RNA of Callithrix jacchus (white-tufted-ear marmoset), 1063 nucleotides long. The record is from RefSeq and is a predicted model, not a curated record. Lineage: Eukaryota; Metazoa; Chordata; Mammalia; Primates; Cebidae.